UGCAAGUCGAACGAGAUCUUCGGAUCUAGUGGCGGACGGGUGAGUAACGCGUGGGAACGUGCCUUUCACUACGGAAUAGCCCCGGGAAACUGGGUUUAAUACCGUAUACGCCCUUCGGGGGAAAGAACUUCGGUGAAAGAUCGGCCCGCGUUAGAUUAGGUAGUUGGUGGGGUAAUGGCCUACCAAGCCUACGAUCUAUAGCUGGUUUUAGAGGAUGAUCAGCCACACUGGGACUGAGACACGGCCCAGACUCCUACGGGAGGCAGCAGUGGGGAAUCUUAAACAAUGGGGGAAACCCUGAUCUAGCCAUGCCGCGUGAGUGACGAAGGCCCUAGGGUCGUAAAGCUCUUUCGCCAGGGAUGAUAAUGACAGUACCUGGUAAAGAAACCCCGGCUAACUCCGUGCCAGCAGCCGCGGUAAUACGGAGGGGGUUAGCGUUGUUCGGAAUUACUGGGCGUAAAGCGCGCGUAGGCGGAUUGGAAAGUUGGGGGUGAAAUCCCGGGGCUCAACCCCGGAACUGCCUCCAAAACUAUCAGUCUAGAGUUCGAGAGAGGUGAGUGGAACUCCGAGUGUAGAGGUGAAAUUCGUAGAUAUUCGGAAGAACACCAGUGGCGAAGGCGGCUCACUGGCUCGAUACUGACGCUGAGGUGCGAAAGUGUGGGGAGCAAACAGGAUUAGAUACCCUGGUAGUCCACACCGUAAACGAUGAAUGCCAGUCGUCGGCAAGCAUGCUUGUCGGUGACACACCUAACGGAUUA
This 758-nucleotide ribosomal RNA is filed under the name uncultured organism. Its description in RNAcentral is "bacterial SSU rRNA". It matches the Rfam family "Bacterial small subunit ribosomal RNA", at positions 56 to 862 of the family's 1533-position model. The record is from RNAcentral.